CUCUUAUUUUGCUGGUUUAAUAGUGUUUAUUGUCAAUGUUUAGGCAAAUUCUUCAAGAAUUCUAAUGAAAGUUUUCUUCAAUACAAAACGAAACCGUUUAAUUAACAAUUUUCACCAAGGCCUAUUAAAUAAACCAUGCCUCCAUUUUGUCAACACAUUUGUUUUUAUAUCUUUUAUUCUUUAAAUUGCUUUUUAGUAAUUUCAAUGUGCUAAGCAACAACCACAUUUACUCCGGAGAUAUGAUCUUCACUACUCAACAUUUUGUAAUUAUUUUUAAUCUUCAUUGGAUAAUUGCGCAAUUUUGUCCUUAGUAUACAUAACCUUCAAAC
RNAcentral lists this long non-coding RNA (329 nucleotides) under Mytilus galloprovincialis (Mediterranean mussel). Lineage: Eukaryota; Metazoa; Mollusca; Bivalvia; Mytilida; Mytilidae. The record is from RNAcentral.